Molecule: ribosomal RNA, 445 nt
Filed under: uncultured bacterium
Lineage: Bacteria
Description: partial 16S ribosomal RNA
Rfam family: Bacterial small subunit ribosomal RNA
Source: RNAcentral
GUGAGGAAUAUUGGUCAAUGGGCGAGAGCCUGAACCAGCCAAGUCGCGUGAAGGAUGAAGGUUUUAUGAAUUGUAAACUUCUUUUGCAGGGGAAUAAAGUACGGUACGUGUACCGUUUUGUAUGUACUCUGCGAAUAAGGAUCGGCUAACUCCGUGCCAGCAGCCGCGGUAAUACGGAGGAUCCAAGCGUUAUCCGGAUUGAUUGGGUUUAAAGGGUGCGCAGGCGGGUUGAUAAGUCAGCGGUGAAAGUUUGCAGCUUAACUGUAAAAAUGCCGUUGAAACUGUCGGACUUGAGUGUAAAUGAGGUAGGCGGAAUGCGUGGUGUAGCGGUGAAAUGCAUAGAUAUCACGCAGAACUCCGAUUGCGAAGGCAGCUUACUAAGCUACAACUGACACUGAAGCACGAAAGCGUGGGGAUCAAACAGGAUUAGAAACCCGAGUAGUCC